UUUUACUUUAAUGUCAAGUAUGGCUUUGUAGGACUGGGUCACUAAGUAUUAUGUAAGUAAAGGAGUACCUCCUUCAAUGAUGAAUGUCGGACUAGGACUGUAUGGUAGAAGUUUUACACUGGCAAAUCCUAGCAAUUCAGGUCUUGGUGCCCCUGCAAGGGGAGCUGGACCUGCUGGUUCCUUCACUGCGGAGAAAGGAUUCAAAGCUUAUUAUGAGGUAUAUAGACCGUUUAAAUCGAUCUACAAGUAUUGUGUACACACAUAUUGAUCGAAAAUGUUUAUACUAAUUCUUCAUAUUCAUUUAUGACAUCACUGUGCUUAUUUAAAUUAACUUUAUUCAACACAAAUGUCAUGUUACACAUUUAUUUUUUUAAAUUAAAAUUUAAAAAAUCCAAAAAAAAUCACAUGUUUUAGACAGUCCUAAGUUAGGAACCUUCGUUCGUCUUGUACAUUUCUUUAAUUUUAGUUCAAUUAUGUUUUUCGGAGUUUAUUGUGAUGUCCAUUUUCACUGAACUUGUACACAUAUGUAUUAAGGGGGAAACUGAAGCACUCCUCCAGGUGCCGGAGUUUCUCUCGAUGUUGACGACGGGUUUGAGGACUUGAGAUGUUUUCUGCUCUUGUGUCGGAUUGUUGUUAACUUUAUUUGACAUAUUCCUUAUUUCCAUUCUCAAUUUUCCCAAAAAAUAUUUUUUCUUGCAACAAUUUCAUUUUAUGAAACAUUUUUGGCGAUAUAUUUUUUUACUUAAAACAUAUUUUACCCAAAAUAACAUCAUUAUAGAAGACCUCUAAUUGCAUUUUAUUUUCAUAUGUAAGCUAUCAAAUUUAAAACACUUAUUAAUCAUUGAAUUCACGUCACUUUGAAAAAAAAAAAAACACAAUUGAAAUAUAGUGUUUUUCUUAUACUGAUUGAAUGUUAUUCUAAAAAAUAAUUGAAAACCUAUAUGAUAGAAAACGAAAUAAGAAGACUAUUAUCCUAUACAUUUGUUUUAUUUUCUAAAAGGUAAAAUAUUUGAAGUAAAUUGUAGAAUGGUAUCAAAACAAAAAAGGCACUGAAUUUACUAUAAAUAUCAUGCACAAAUCUAAAUGAACAAACAACUUUUUUCUAACUUAUGUAUUAUGCAGCUUGGUUACCUUACAGGCGUUAUUAAAUCAUUUCAACCAACUAAAUUUUGUUCUUUUAUCAUGCGUUGUUUAGUGUUUGCAUUUUAUUUGUUAGUUGCAGAUAGCUGCACUUGAAAAUAUUUCUAAUGCUGUUUUCGUCCUCAUUUUUAGAUUUGUCAAAUGUUAAAAUCUGGUGGCGUGAAGCAUUACAUUCCUGAACAAAAAAGUCCAUACGCAGUAAAAGGAACAGAAUGGAUUGGAUACGACGAUCGUGAUAGCUUAAAAGAAAAAGUAAGCAUUGUUUUAUAGGAAAAGAAUUAUGAAAUACUUACGAAAGAGACAUCACAGUUUAAGGUGAUAUCUACGAAAUCACGAAUUUAAAUCUGUUAUCACGAAUUAUAUAAAUCGUGUUGACGAUUUAAAUUCGUGAUUUCGAAUUCAAAUUAUAAAUUUGAGUGGUCCUAGAUGGGCUAUCUAUUCCGUAGAUAUCUCAAAUUGAAAUGCGUUUAUAAACCCCUUACUACUGAAUCGUUUAUUCCCUCUACUAUGCGUGAAUGGAAUAAACUUGAUCCAAACAUUCGCAGUGUCUACUCUAUUUCUAAAUUUAAGAAAGAAUUAAAAAACGAUAGUCUAGUAUGUAAAAUUGAAACGUUUUAUUUGUACGGCCCAAGGAAAUUAAAUAUUAUCUUAACGCAAUUGCGAUGUUCCGCUUCAUCCUUAAACAAUGACCUAUUUAGAGCUAACAUUAUAAAUGAUCCUUCUUGUCAUUGUGGGUCCGAUAUUGAGGAUGUCUACCAUUACUUCUUCGUUUGCCUAAAAUACACAUUAUGUAGGAAAAACUUACUCCAUUACCUUAACUAGCUUUCUGAAAACUUUGUUUUAGAUACAAAACUAUUAAUUUGCGGACACUUGGAACUUUCGAACGAACAAAACAUUCAAAUUUUCAAACAUGUUCAAAAUUACAUAAAAAGGUCAAACAGAUUUCUUAUGCCUUGAUAGAGCGUUGUUAUUGCUGACACAGGACGUCAUCGUUGUCAUCAAUCCACAAGGCAUCGUCACGGAAGUAUACAAUUUUUCAAACUUUCUUUUUCCUUUUUCACUUUGUCUCCUCUUUGUUCACCUAUGAAAGCUAGUAUUAUAUUGUAUAAACUGUUUGUUUUAUAUGCAUGUCCAAAUAUAUUAUACUAUUAUUGUAACUUUAUAUUGUAUUAUGGAGAAGACUUUAUAAGUAUGAUUUACUUGUGUCUAAUCCAUUUUGCUUUAAUUCAGCAAAUAAAAUAUGUUUAAACUAUAAACUUUUUAAAUUACUGGUUAUAUGGCGUCAUAAGAUAUUUGAGAAAAUACAAAUUUAAAUAUUCUUCAACAUUAUUUUGUUCCAAAAUUAUAUUUAGACAUGUUUAGUUUUAUAGACAAAAUAAACGUACGAAGUGGUAAUUCCUACACUAAUAAAAGUACUGUUUAUUAUUAUUCGUUGAAUACCAUUUUUUGUUAAUUUCGUGGGUAUAGGUGAACCACGAAAUUAAAUGUUCAACAAAUGACAAAUUUCAUAUAAGUUUGUAUACCAACUUCGGCUAAACCACGAUAUUAAAUAUCAAUGAACUUGUUAGUUUUCCUUAAUUAACCAAAAAAAAAUGAUACCCACGAAAAUAAGUGAACCCACAGUAACGGGUAUAAGGUAGUGAGAACCAUUAAGAUCUAAAAUGUAAAACACGACAAAAACUAUACAAAAAAAAAAAUACGAUGAAUAAAGAGUCAGGAAAUGUGUAAACAAAGUCUUCUGUUAUCACUCUUCAUCAAACUGACACCCAUUUUUUCACAAUUCACGACAUUCAAUUGAAAUGUUUAAUAAUUGUGGAUAAAUAUCAUUACAAUAUAUAUAUUUAAAAUCGACCUGUAGAAAUUGUGACAUAUAUUUACUUUUUAGUUUAAACAUAUUUGUUCAUAUUAAUACUAGUGGAUUGGGAAACAAGUUUUGCAACUUAUAUCAAUUUCUUUCCACUUUGCGGGUGCGAGUGCUGCCUUGUAGCGGCAUCAGCCUACUCUUUUUCGAAAUCUACAAGGGUGUAUUAAACGUGCAAGAGAUAUGGCUCUCUCUUAACACGGGUCAGCCAUUUAUCGUCUUCUUCUGACGGACUAUCAUCGUUUCCUUAAUACCAUACUCCCCAAUGGUGUCAAGGGAGAGCCGAAAAUUGAGUUCCUGAAAUUUUCAUCCCUAACGGGAAUCGAACCAAAACCUUUGUGUUAGUAGUCUGAUGCACUUAACCACUACUGCACGGCUCUCUUGUUUACUUUUUAGGUGAAGUACAUCAAGGAUCAUCAUUUUGGUGGUACAAUGGUAUGGGCAUUAGAUCUUGACGAUUUCAGUGGUUCAUGUGGAGAGGGGAAGUAUCCGUUACUUCAUGCCAUCAAUGAAGAAUUGGCUGCAGGUGGGGGUGGAAAUGUACCACAGUAAGUGAUAGUGAGAAAUAGAUACAAAAUUUAAAAAAUAUAAAAAAAUACUGACAUUUUAUAACAUUUCUUUCGUUUUAUUUUAUUUUAUUUUUCUAACCUCUAUCAAAGGAAAUUAAGUGAUAAAACUAAAAAUAAAAUUUGUCGCGUACACUAUAAUACGACAUAGGUCGCUAAUUCCGUUCGUCCGGUUUCAGGGUUACCAAUGCUCCCGGCCAACCAACAACUCAGAAUCCACAACCUACUAGGAACCCACCUCAACAAACAACACAACCACCACCACCAACACAACCACCACAGCCAACAUGGAAAACAUGGUGGACCCCAGGACCAACAUGGACACCAGGACCAACCUGGACACCACAGCCAACAUGGAAACCACAACCAACACAAGCCCAACAAGUGACCACAAAAGGUAUUCUAAUUUGCAUAUGUAUUAUUUGUGAAAUUUUGUCAAUAUGAAACAAACAAUAUAAGAAUGAAUUGAACGUUGCCAAACAAUGUAUUUUUCUAAAGUUGUCCGUUUAUUAAUUUUGAAAUUAUAAAGAAACUAAGGAUACAACUCCCUCAGGCAAAGUUGACCUUAGAUGAAUUUGUCUAUUUGUUUCGGAACUUAUACAUCCUUCGGAUUUCAAAUUUUUGGCUUUGAGCGUUCCUGAUGGAGAUAAAAUCAAGAAAAGCAAUUCGGAAGCAUCAAAUUAAACGUUUUGAUUUCAUUUUUUGCAAACAAACACACAAAUCUUUGAUCUACAAGUGCGUAAUUGUUCUUGUAUUCAGAACAUGAUGCAAAAGUAAAAAUAAACUUUCAUAAUUUUCAGCUCCACGUCCAACACACCAGUCACACCACAUUGGCCUUACAACCAACUUUAACUGUAAUGGCAGACCUAGUGGAUUUUAUGCAAGCCCUUCCUCUUGCGACGGUUAUUAUAUUUGUGCUGCCACACUAGCUUUUGAAGUUAAAUGUGCCAGCGGAUUACUAUUCAAUUCUGCAACUGCGUUCUGUGAUUGGCCAUAUAAUGUAAAAUGUUCGACCAACCAAAACCAACAAGGCCCUGUCGUGACAACAAGGAAACCUAUGGCUACUCAAGCACCUGUAACACAAGCCCCUGUUACUCAGGCUCCAGUAACUCAAGCUCCUGUUGUGGUAACUCAGGCACCAGUAACACAAGCACCUGUUACUCAGGCUCCUUCCAAUGGUAAGUUUAAAAUAAUUCCAUGCAGUUUCGAGGUAAUAAGCACGAUAAAUGGUACACACAACAUAGAAAACUAAAGACUAAGCAACACGAACUACACCGAAAACUAGGGGUGAUCUCAGGUGCUCAUGAAGGGUAAAUAACCAAAUAAAAACAAAAAGCAAACUAAAAGAAUGUCUUGUUAUCAAUAAAUUUCUUUAAAAGUUAUAUUUACAGAAAAAAAUUCAAAGAGUAAAAAUUCUAAAUCCCUUUAAGCUCACCUGACCAAAAGGCCAAGUGAGCUUUUCUUAUCACUUGUUGUCCAUCAUCGUUAACUUUUACAAAAAUCUUCACCUCUGAAACUACUGGGCCAAAUUUAACCAAACUUGGCCACAAUCAUCAUUGGAGUAUUUAGUUUAAAAGUUGUGUCCGGUGACCGGUUCUAAAAUAGAACAUAGGGGUAAAAUGUAUAUUUUGGCUUAUAACUCUGAAACCAAAGCAUUUAGAGCAAAUCUGACAGGAGUGUAAUUUUUUAUCAAGUUUAUUGUUUAUCAAGUCAAAAUCUAUCUGCCCUGAAAUUUCCAGAUUAAUCGGACAACGGGUUGUUGGGUUGCUGCCCCUGAAAUGGUAAUUCUAAUGCAAUUUGGAUGUAACAAUUUUUUUUAUUGGCUAAGUUGCCGUCAAAUCCACAGUUGACCAGGCGUAACUAAGGAGAGACCCGCCAUUUUGAAUUGAUGAAUCAACAAAUGUUCGAUUACUUCUAUAUAAUCGAAAAUAAAACAACACCUACCUCGAAUUUGCCGUUUUAAUGUAAUUUUAUCCGAAUUUGAAGCGUACAGGUAACGUAAUAACCUCCAGUUUGUAAGUUUUCAUUUGUAUGACGUCACGUUUAGCCAUGACGUCGUUGUGCCAAAAUCAUUCAUGAAGUUUCGCGGAUUUUUUUUUAUUUGACAAAUUUAGACAUUUUUUUCAAGUUUUAUCGUAUUUUUUCUUUUUGUAAUGCAUUAGAAUCAGAAUAACAGUACUGUAGUUGAAGAGUUGCCACCGUCAAUUUUGAUUUGACGGUGGCAACUCUUCAACUACAGUACUGUUAUUCCUUAAUUUUAAGGAAAUUGUGUCCGUUUAUGAUACUAUUUUGAAAAUUAUUAUAGAUGGAAAUAAACUGUAAACAGCAAUAAUGUUCAGCAAAGGUAGAUCUACAAAUAAGUCAUAUGAUGAAAAUGGUCAGAUGACCCCUUGAGCAGCUAUUGCCCUUAAUAGUCAUUUUUUACCAAUUUUUCGUAAAUUUUUGUAAUCUUUUACAAAAAUCUUCUCUUCUGAAACUACUGGACUAAAUUAAAUCAAACUUAACCACAAUCAUUAUUAGGUUAUCUAAUUUUUAAAAAUGUGUGCGGUGACCCGGCCAAAAUGGCUGUCAUAGCUAAAAAUAGAACAUAGGGGUAAAAUGUAGAUUUUGGCUUAAAACUCUGAAACCAAAGCAUUUAAAGCAAAUCUUACAAGGAGUUAACUUCUUUAUCUAGUAAAUACCUAUCUGCCCUGAAAUUUUCAGAUGAAUUAGACAACUGGUUGUUGGGUUGCUGCCCCAAAAAAUUUAGCCGUUUUUGAUUAUUAUCUAUUAUAGAUAGAGAUAAACUGUAAACAGAAAUAAUGUUCAGCAAAUUAAUAUCUACCAAUAAGUCAACAUGGCCAAUUCAUUAAUUUGGUAAAUUUUGGUAAGUUUUUACAAAAUAUUUUCCUCUGUAACAAAAGGGCUAAGUUCAUUACAGAUAGAGAAAGUUGUAAAUAGCAAGAACGAUCAGUAAAGUAUGGUCUACAAACGCAUCACCAUCACCUAAACACAAUUUUGUCAUGAAUCCAUCUGUUUCCUUUGUUUAAUAUGCACAUAGAUCAAGAUGAGCGACACAGGCUCUUAAGAGCCUCUUGUUUGAUUCUCUUGUGAUUAAAAUAUGUGUCAAUUUUCUAAUUACUGAUAUGCAUAUACUUUUGUUCAGGAAAUAAUAAACAAGAAUUCUGUAAAAACAAGUCCGAUGGUCACCACAGAGACCCAACUGACUGUGGACAUUUCUACCAAUGUUCUUUUGGUCUCACUUUCCAUGAGGUCUGUGGUCCAGGAACCGCAUUUAAUGAACAAACAGUAGGCUGUGAUUAUCCAAGAAAUGUUCCAGGUUGUGAAAACUACGGUGGAUGAGAAAAAUGAAAAAACUGAGACAGAACAGUAUAUUUUGUG
Molecule: long non-coding RNA, 6948 nt
Filed under: Mytilus galloprovincialis (Mediterranean mussel)
Lineage: Eukaryota; Metazoa; Mollusca; Bivalvia; Mytilida; Mytilidae
Source: RNAcentral